This 2907-nucleotide ribosomal RNA is filed under the name Salmonella enterica. Its description in RNAcentral is "Large Subunit Ribosomal RNA". It matches the Rfam family "Bacterial large subunit ribosomal RNA". Lineage: Bacteria; Pseudomonadati; Pseudomonadota; Gammaproteobacteria; Enterobacterales; Enterobacteriaceae. The record is from RNAcentral. RNAcentral also lists the same sequence under 2 other names.
GGUUAAGCGACUAAGCGUACACGGUGGAUGCCCUGGCAGUCAGAGGCGAUGAAGGGCGUGCUAAUCUGCGAUAAGCGCCGGUAAGGUGAUAUGAACCGUUAUAACCGGCGAUACCCGAAUGGGGAAACCCAGUGUGAUUCGUCACACUAUCAUUAACUGAAUCCAUAGGUUAAUGAGGCGAACCGGGGGAACUGAAACAUCUAAGUACCCCGAGGAAAAGAAAUCAACCGAGAUUCCCCCAGUAGCGGCGAGCGAACGGGGAGGAGCCCAGAGCCUGAAUCAGCAUGUGUGUUAGUGGAAGCGUCUGGAAAGGCGCGCGAUACAGGGUGACAGCCCCGUACACAAAAGCGCAUGUGCUGUGAGCUCGAUGAGUAGGGCGGGACACGUGGUAUCCUGUCUGAAUAUGGGGGGACCAUCCUCCAAGGCUAAAUACUCCUGACUGACCGAUAGUGAACCAGUACCGUGAGGGAAAGGCGAAAAGAACCCCGGCGAGGGGAGUGAAAAAGAACCUGAAACCGUGUACGUACAAGCAGUGGGAGCACAGGUUUACCUGUGUGACUGCGUACCUUUUGUAUAAUGGGUCAGCGACUUAUAUUCUGUAGCAAGGUUAACCGAAUAGGGGAGCCGGAGGGAAACCGAGUCUUAAUUGGGCGUUAAGUUGCAGGGUAUAGACCCGAAACCCGGUGAUCUAGCCAUGGGCAGGUUGAAGGUUGGGUAACACUAACUGGAGGACCGAACCGACUAAUGUUGAAAAAUUAGCGGAUGACCUGUGGCUGGGGGUGAAAGGCCAAUCAAACCGGGAGAUAGCUGGUUCUCCCCGAAAGCUAUUUAGGUAGCGCCUCGUGAAUUCAUCUCCGGGGGUAGAGCACUGUUUCGGCUAGGGGGCCAUCCCGGCUUACCAACCCGAUGCAAACUGCGAAUACCGGAGAAUGUUAUCACGGGAGACACACGGCGGGUGCUAACGUCCGUCGUGAAGAGGGAAACAACCCAGACCGCCAGCUAAGGUCCCAAAGUCAUGGUUAAGUGGGAAACGAUGUGGGAAGGCCCAGACAGCCAGGAUGUUGGCUUAGAAGCAGCCAUCAUUUAAAGAAAGCGUAAUAGCUCACUGGUCGAGUCGGCCUGCGCGGAAGAUGUAACGGGGCUAAACCAUGCACCGAAGCUGCGGCAGCGACACUGUGUGUUGUUGGGUAGGGGAGCGUUCUGUAAGCCUGCGAAGGUGGCCUGUGAGGGUUGCUGGAGGUAUCAGAAGUGCGAAUGCUGACAUAAGUAACGAUAAAGCGGGUGAAAAGCCCGCUCGCCGGAAGACCAAGGGUUCCUGUCCAACGUUAAUCGGGGCAGGGUGAGUCGACCCCUAAGGCGAGGCCGAAAGGCGUAGUCGAUGGGAAACGGGUUAAUAUUCCCGUACUUGGUGUUACUGCGAAGGGGGGACGGAGAAGGCUAUGUUGGCCGGGCGACGGUUGUCCCGGUUUAAGCGUGUAGGUGUGUGUUCCAGGUAAAUCCGGUUCACUUUAACACUGAGGCGUGACGACGAGGCACUACGGUGCUGAAGCAACAAAUGCCCUGCUUCCAGGAAAAGCCUCUAAGCAUCAGGUAACAUCAAAUCGUACCCCAAACCGACACAGGUGGUCAGGUAGAGAAUACCAAGGCGCUUGAGAGAACUCGGGUGAAGGAACUAGGCAAAAUGGUGCCGUAACUUCGGGAGAAGGCACGCUGACACGUAGGUGAAGUGAUUUACUCAUGGAGCUGAAGUCAGUCGAAGAUACCAGCUGGCUGCAACUGUUUAUUAAAAACACAGCACUGUGCAAACACGAAAGUGGACGUAUACGGUGUGACGCCUGCCCGGUGCCGGAAGGUUAAUUGAUGGGGUCAGCGCAAGCGAAGCUCCUGAUCGAAGCCCCGGUAAACGGCGGCCGUAACUAUAACGGUCCUAAGGUAGCGAAAUUCCUUGUCGGGUAAGUUCCGACCUGCACGAAUGGCGUAAUGAUGGCCAGGCUGUCUCCACCCGAGACUCAGUGAAAUUGAACUCGCUGUGAAGAUGCAGUGUACCCGCGGCAAGACGGAAAGACCCCGUGAACCUUUACUAUAGCUUGACACUGAACAUUGAGCCUUGAUGUGUAGGAUAGGUGGGAGGCUUUGAAGUGUGGACGCCAGUCUGCAUGGAGCCGACCUUGAAAUACCACCCUUUAAUGUUUGAUGUUCUAACGUGGACCCGUUACCCGGGUUGCGGACAGUGUCUGGUGGGUAGUUUGACUGGGGCGGUCUCCUCCUAAAGAGUAACGGAGGAGCACGAAGGUUGGCUAAUCCUGGUCGGACAUCAGGAGGUUAGUGCAAUGGCAUAAGCCAGCUUGACUGCGAGCGUGACGGCGCGAGCAGGUGCGAAAGCAGGUCAUAGUGAUCCGGUGGUUCUGAAUGGAAGGGCCAUCGCUCAACGGAUAAAAGGUACUCCGGGGAUAACAGGCUGAUACCGCCCAAGAGUUCAUAUCGACGGCGGUGUUUGGCACCUCGAUGUCGGCUCAUCACAUCCUGGGGCUGAAGUAGGUCCCAAGGGUAUGGCUGUUCGCCAUUUAAAGUGGUACGCGAGCUGGGUUUAGAACGUCGUGAGACAGUUCGGUCCCUAUCUGCCGUGGGCGCUGGAGAACUGAGGGGGGCUGCUCCUAGUACGAGAGGACCGGAGUGGACGCAUCACUGGUGUUCGGGUUGUCAUGCCAAUGGCACUGCCCGGUAGCUAAAUGCGGAAGAGAUAAGUGCUGAAAGCAUCUAAGCACGAAACUUGCCCCGAGAUGAGUUCUCCCUGAGACUUAAAGUCUCCUGAAGGAACGUUGAAGACGACGACGUUGAUAGGCCGGGUGUGUAAGCGCAGCGAUGCGUUGAGCUAACCGGUACUAAUGAACCGUGAGGCUUAACCUU